AUGGCUGCUGCGACGUUGCUCCUGGUGCUAACGGUCGUCGCCCUCGGCUCCGGUCAUGGCGAGGCCUUCGACCCUAACCCCCUCCAGGACUUCUGCGUCGCCGACACCACGUCCAAAGUGCGCGUGAACGGGGUGGCGUGCAAGGACCCGGCGGCGGCGGUGGCGGACGACUUCUUCUUCGCCGGCGUGGACAAGCCGGGCGGCGGCGCGGCGAGCAAGUGGUACGGGUUCUCGGCGCUGACGGUGCAGAUCCCGGGCCUGAACACGCUGGGCGAGUCGCACGCCCGCGUGGACGUGGCGCCGGGGGGCGUCUUCCCGCCGCACUACCACCCGAGGGCGGCGGAGACAGCGCUGGUGCUGGAGGGCUCCGUCUACUUCGGCUUCGUCUCCUCCUACCCGGACAACCGGCUCUUCGCCAAGGUGCUCCGCAAGGGCGACGUUUUCGCCGUGCCCCAGGGGCUCGUGCACUUCCUCUACAACAACGGCACCGCGCCCGCCGCCAUCUACGCCUCCCUCAGCAGCCAGAACGCCGGGCUGGUGCUCCUCGGCGACGCGCUCUUCGCCGGGGCCAUCCCCGACGACCUCGUUGCUAAGUCGCUCCUCAUGGAUAGGCACACCGUCGGGAGCAUCCGGGCAAACUUCCGGCGGCCUUGA
Molecule: ribosomal RNA, 654 nt
Filed under: Triticum aestivum (bread wheat)
Lineage: Eukaryota; Viridiplantae; Streptophyta; Magnoliopsida; Poales; Poaceae
Description: partial small subunit ribosomal RNA
Source: RNAcentral